Molecule: ribosomal RNA, 510 nt
Filed under: uncultured bacterium
Lineage: Bacteria
Description: partial 16S ribosomal RNA
Rfam family: Bacterial small subunit ribosomal RNA
Source: RNAcentral
AACGAACGCUGGCGGCGUGCUUAACACAUGCAAGUCGAACGAAGAGCGAUGGAAGCUUGCCUCUAUCAAUCUUAGUGGCGAACGGGUGAGUAACGCGUAAUCAACCUGCCCUUCUGAGGGGGACAACAGUUGGAAACGACUGCUAAUACCGCAUACGAUCUAACCUCGGCAUCGAGGAGAGAUGAAAGGCUGCCUCUACAUGUAAGCUAUCACUGAAGGAGGGUAUUGCGGCUGAUUAGCUAGGUGGAGGGGUAACGGCCCACCAAGGCGAUGAUCAGUAGCCGGUCUGAGGGGAUGAACGGCCACAUUGGGACUGGGACACGGCCCAGGCUCCUACGGGAGGCAGCAGUGGGGAAUCUUCCGCAAUGGACGAAAGUCUGACUGAGCAACGCCGCGUGAGUGAUGACGGCCUUCGGGUUGGAAAACUCUGUUAAUCGGGACGAAAGGCCUUCUUGCGAAUAGUUAGAAGGAUUGACGGUACCGGAAGAGAAAGCCACGGCUAACUACGUG